Molecule: microRNA precursor, 75 nt
Organism: Myotis lucifugus (little brown bat)
Lineage: Eukaryota; Metazoa; Chordata; Mammalia; Chiroptera; Vespertilionidae
Rfam family: mir-9223 microRNA precursor family
Source: Rfam
GGUAGUUCUUGGUUGAUGCACCUCAGAAUCAGGCUCCCUCCUCUGUGGUUCUGGGUGUGUUACCUGAGAACGGCA